CUGGCCUCAAAUCAGGCAGGACUACCCGCUGAACUUAAGCAUAUCAAUAAGCGGAGGAAAAGAAACUAACWAGGAUUCCCCUAGUAACGGCGAGUGAAGCGGGAAAAGCUCAAAUUUGAAAUCUGGCGGUCUACGGCCGUCCGAGUUGUAGUCUAGAGAGGUGUCUUCUGCGUCGGACCAUGCACAAGUCCCUUGGAACAGGGCGUCAUAGAGGGUGAGAAUCCCGUCCGUGGCAUGGACUCCCGGUGCUUUGUGAUGCGCCUUCGAAGAGUCGAGUUGUUUGGGAAUGCAGCUCAAAAUGGGUGGUAAAUUCCAUCUAAAGCUAAAUACAGGCGAGAGACCGAUAGCGAACAAGUACCGUGAGGGAAAGAUGAAAAGCACUUUGGAAAGAGAGUUAAACAGUACGUGAAAUUGUUGAAAGGGAAACGCUUGGAGUCAGUCGCGUUUGCCGGGACUCAGCCUUGCUUCUGCUUGGUGCACUUCCUGGUACACGGGCCAGCAUCGAUUUUGAUCGCCGGAAAAAGGCUUGGGGAAGGUGGCACCUUCGGGUGUGUUAUAGCCCCUUGUUGUAUACGGUGGUUGGGAUUGAGGACCGCAGCACGCCUUUUGGUCGGGGUUCGCCCACGCCACGUGCUUAGGAUGCUGGCGUAAUGGCUUUAAACGACCCGUC
Molecule: ribosomal RNA, 670 nt
Filed under: Pseudohydnum gelatinosum
Lineage: Eukaryota; Fungi; Basidiomycota; Agaricomycetes; Auriculariales
Description: eukaryotic LSU rRNA
Rfam family: Eukaryotic large subunit ribosomal RNA
Source: RNAcentral